Non-coding RNA from Colossoma macropomum (tambaqui), 342 nucleotides. The record is from the annotation of a RefSeq genome assembly. NCBI's taxonomy places the organism in Eukaryota, Metazoa, Chordata, Actinopteri, Characiformes, Serrasalmidae.
AUGACCACACUGAUUCUACUGCUGGCCAUCUUUCCUCAAGUUUCCUAUCAAGAGGUUCAGUCUCCUGAGUUUCUGUCUGUUGAAGCAGGAAAGAGUGUCUCUAUUAGCUGUACUGGAACUAGUGGAGUUGACAGUGAUAUGAGUUGGUACCUGCAGAAACCUGGAGAAGCUCCUAAACUCCUGAUUUAUAGAGCGAGCACACGUGAGUCUGGAGUUCAAGAACGAUUCAGUGGUUCAUAUUCAGGGCUUAACUUUCAACUGACCAUCAGUGGAGUCCAGCCUGAGGAUGCAGGAGAUUAUUACUGUUUGGGAGCUUAUAGCGGAGGAGUGAUCACACAGUGA